GACCACAGUCUCAUAAACUGCUGACGCCAGUGAGAGCCACAGUCCGUCUGAUGGCUAGUCGACCAUCCACCGAUUGGUAGGAGGAUGGCGGCGAGACAACCUGGAUCGGGGGAGGCUAACGGCCGCUGGCCUAUGCUAAUCCCGAGCGGAGUGCCCCUGGAGUGAUCCUGGGAACACCCGUGUAGAGCGCGCCAAGGUGUCGGUGGUGCUCGGGGUCAUACCCGAGACCCACUUAAGGUACGUGCCGGCCCCGAUCGAAAGAUUGCCUUUAACUAGAGUGCCUACCACACGAAGGUUAUGGGGGCGUCGAUUCAAGACGCUGGCAGCUCCUAAAAGACAUACCUCCCGGCAACCCUGAGGGUCCGUGGAGACAAUUGAUGGAGGGACACCCAAGUGGUCUCCCSCCUCAAGUCUAUGUGUCUUUUGAGGGUUCGUCCGG
This 439-nucleotide ribosomal RNA is filed under the name Exophiala prototropha. Its description in RNAcentral is "18S ribosomal RNA". The record is from RNAcentral. Lineage: Eukaryota; Fungi; Ascomycota; Eurotiomycetes; Chaetothyriales; Herpotrichiellaceae.